UCCUCCAUGGCGCAAUUGGCUAGCGCGUCUGACUGUUACUGACUUCGCAAGAAGAGGUUGCAAUCAGGAGGUUCCUGGUUCGAGCCCAGGUGGGGGAG
Trichodelitschia bisporula is the source of this 98-nucleotide non-coding RNA. NCBI's taxonomy places the organism in Eukaryota, Fungi, Ascomycota, Dothideomycetes, Phaeotrichales, Phaeotrichaceae. The record is from the annotation of a GenBank genome assembly.